This 442-nucleotide ribosomal RNA is filed under the name uncultured bacterium. Its description in RNAcentral is "partial 16S ribosomal RNA". It matches the Rfam family "Bacterial small subunit ribosomal RNA", at positions 355 to 789 of the family's 1533-position model. The record is from RNAcentral.
UAGGGAAUCUUCGGCAAUGGGGGCAACCCUGACCGAGCAACGCCGCGUGAGUGAAGAAGGUUUUCGGAUCGUAAAGCUCUGUUGUAAGUCAAGAACGGGUGUGAGAGUGGAAAGUUCACACUGUGACGGUAGCUUACCAGAAAGGGACGGCUAACUACGUGCCAGCAGCCGCGGUAAUACGUAGGUCCCGAGCGUUGUCCGGAUUUAUUGGGCGUAAAGCGAGCGCAGGCGGUUUGAUAAGUCUGAAGUUAAAGGCUGUGGCUCAACCAUAGUUCGCUUUGGAAACUGUCAAACUUGAGUGCAGAAGGGGAGAGUGGAAUUCCAUGUGUAGCGGUGAAAUGCGUAGAUAUAUGGAGGAACACCGGUGGCGAAAGCGGCUCUCUGGUCUGUAACUGAUGCUGAGGCUCGAAAGCGUGGGGAGCGAACAGGAUUAGAUACCCUG